AGGUUUUCAAACAUGGGUCGUUCCUCCUUUCG
RNAcentral lists this non-coding RNA (32 nucleotides) under Geobacter sulfurreducens KN400. The record is from RNAcentral. Lineage: Bacteria; Pseudomonadati; Thermodesulfobacteriota; Desulfuromonadia; Geobacterales; Geobacteraceae.